UGCUGGAGGUAUCAGAAGUGCGAAUGCUGACAUAAGUAACGAUAAAGCGGGUGAAAAGCCCGCUCGCCGGAAGACCAAGGGUUCCUGUCCAACGUUAAUCGGGGCAGGGUGAGUCGACCCCUAAGGCGAGGCCGAAAGGCGUAGUCGAUGGGAAACAGGUUAAUAUUCCUGUACUUGGUGUUACUGCGAAGGGGGGACGGAGAAGGCUAUGUUAGCCGGGCGACGGUUGUCCCGGUUUAAGCAUGUAGGCUGGUUGUCCAGGCAAAUCCGGAUAAUCAAGGCUGAGGUGUGAUGACGAGGCACUACGGUGCUGAAGUAACAAAUGCCCUGCUUCCAGGAAAAGCCUCUAAGCAUCAGGUAACAUUAAAUCGUACCCCAAACCGACACAGGUGGUCAGGUAGAGAAUACCAAGGCGCUUGAGAGAACUCGGGUGAAGGAACUAGGCAAAAUGGUGCCGUAACUUCGGGAGAAGGCACGCUGGUGUGUAGGUGAAGUCCCUGCGGAUGGAGCUGAGACCAGUCGAAGAUACCAGCUGGCUGCAACUGUUUAUUAAAAACACAGCACUGUGCAAACACGAAAGUGGACGUAUACGGUGUGACGCCUGCCCGGUGCCGGAAGGUUAAUUGAUGGGGUUAUCCGUAAGGAGAAGCUCUUGAUCGAAGCCCCGGUAAACGGCGGCCGUAACUAUAACGGUCCUAAGGUAGCGAAAUUCCUUGUCGGGUAAGUUCCGACCUGCACGAAUGGCGUAAUGAUGGCCAGGCUGUCUCCACCCGAGACUCAGUGAAAUUGAACUCGCUGUGAAGAUGCAGUGUACCCGCGGCAAGACGGAAAGACCCCGUGAACCUUUACUAUAGCUUGACACUGAACAUUGAGCCUUGAUGUGUAGGAUAGGUGGGAGGCUUUGAAGCGUGGACGCCAGUCUGCGUGGAGCCAACCUUGAAAUACCACCCUUUAAUGUUUGAUGUUCUAACGUUGGCCCCUUACCGGGGUUGCGGACAGUGUCUGGUGGGUAGUUUGACUGGGGCGGUCUCCUCCCAAAGCGUAACGGAGGAGCACGAAGGUUAGCUAAUCCUGGUCGGACAUCAGGAGGUUAGUGCAAUGGCAUAAGCUAGCUUGACUGCGAGCGUGACGGCGCGAGCAGGUGCGAAAGCAGGUCAUAGUGAUCCGGUGGUUCUGAAUGGAAGGGCCAUCGCUCAACGGAUAAAAGGUACUCCGGGGAUAACAGGCUGAUACCGCCCAAGAGUUCAUAUCGACGGCGGUGUUUGGCACCUCGAUGUCGGCUCAUCACAUCCUGGGGCUGAAGUAGGUCCCAAGGGUAUGGCUGUUCGCCAUUUAAAGUGGUACGCGAGCUGGGUUUAGAACGUCGUGAGACAGUUCGGUCCCUAUCUGCCGUGGGCGCUGGAGAAUUGAGGGGGGCUGCUCCUAGUACGAGAGGACCGGAGUGGACGCAUCACUGGUGUUCGGGUUGUCAUGCCAAUGGCACUGCCCGGUAGCUAAAUGCGGAAGAGAUAAGUGCUGAAAGCAUCUAAGCACGAAACUUGCCCCGAGAUGAGUUCUCCCUGAGACUUUAAGUCUCCUGAAGGAACGUUAAAGACGAUGACGUUGAUAGGCCGGGUGUGUAAGCGCAGCGAUGCGUUGAGCUAACCGGUACUAAUGAACCGUGAGGCUUAACCUU
RNAcentral lists this ribosomal RNA (1675 nucleotides) under Klebsiella pneumoniae. RNAcentral describes it as "partial 23S ribosomal RNA". It matches the Rfam family "Bacterial large subunit ribosomal RNA", at positions 1271 to 2925 of the family's 2925-position model. The record is from RNAcentral. Lineage: Bacteria; Pseudomonadati; Pseudomonadota; Gammaproteobacteria; Enterobacterales; Enterobacteriaceae.